GCGCUCAAUUCGGUGGCACAGACACUAAAACUGGAGUGGUACAGAGAGAACAUGUCCCCUGCACAGGGAAGACACACACAUUCACGAAGCAUUCCACAGUUAG
Microtus ochrogaster (prairie vole) is the source of this 103-nucleotide small nuclear RNA. NCBI's taxonomy places the organism in Eukaryota, Metazoa, Chordata, Mammalia, Rodentia, Cricetidae. The record is from Ensembl.